UGGGGGAUCGUUCAGUGGCAGGACGACGGGUUCUGGCCCCGUUAACCAAGGUUCGAAUCCUUGUCCCCCAGCCA
Molecule: transfer RNA, 74 nt
Filed under: Deltaproteobacteria bacterium
Lineage: Bacteria; Pseudomonadati; Myxococcota; Myxococcia
Also listed under: 1 other name
Description: tRNA-Gln
Rfam family: tRNA
About the family: Transfer RNA (tRNA) molecules are approximately 80 nucleotides in length. Their secondary structure includes four short double-helical elements and three loops (D, anti-codon, and T loops).
Source: RNAcentral